RNAcentral lists this ribosomal RNA (502 nucleotides) under uncultured bacterium. RNAcentral describes it as "bacterial SSU rRNA". It matches the Rfam family "Bacterial small subunit ribosomal RNA", at positions 27 to 518 of the family's 1533-position model. The record is from RNAcentral.
UCAGGGAUGAACGCUGGCGGCGUGCCUAAUACAUAGCAAGUCGAACGCAUUACUUCGGUAGUGAGUGGCGAACGGGUGAGUAACACGUAGGUAACUUACCUCUAAGACGAGGAUAACGACUGGAAACGGUCGCUAAAACUGGAUAGGAUCAUUUGAGGCAUCUCGAAUGAUUUAAGGGGCUUUCAAGCCACACUUAGAGAAAGGCCUGCGGCGCAUUAGCUAGUUGGUGGGGUAGAGGCCUACCAAGGCGAUGAUGCGUAGCCGGACUGAGAGGUCAACGGCCACAUUGGGACUGAGACACGGCCCAAACUCCUACGGGAGGCAGCAGUAGGGAAUCUUCCGCAAUGGACGAAAGUCUGACGGAGCAACGCCGCGUGAGUGAAGAAAAGGUUUUUCGGAUCGUAAAACUCUGUUGUCAGAGAAGAACAAGUUGGAGAGUAACUGCUCCAGCCUUGACGGUAUCUGACCAGAAAGCCACGGCUAACUACGUGCCAGCCGCCGC